Molecule: long non-coding RNA, 2407 nt
Filed under: Helianthus annuus (common sunflower)
Lineage: Eukaryota; Viridiplantae; Streptophyta; Magnoliopsida; Asterales; Asteraceae
Description: hypothetical non coding rna
Source: RNAcentral
GUGACCAGGAGGUCACCCCACGCAUGACAAGGAAGAAGGAGAAGGAGACUGAUUUCACAUGAGGAUCACGAAAUUGGAGGGUUGAAGUCUCGAUUAUGUCUUCUUUGCUUGAUUCUAAGGCUCUAGUAAGUGAUUUCAUAUGUUGUUUGAUGAAAUUCAAAGUAGUGUUCUUCAUGCUUUUUGUUCAAACCAUGAAAUUAAGGUUAAUUGUGUGUGAUUUUGGUGUUGAACAACCAUAGUCUUUAUGCUAAACUGAUUUAUUGUAACUUUUGAGUUAUGGAUUCAUGUUAUUUGGGUUCAAAUUCAAGAUUUGGUGAUUAGGGUAGAGAUGUAUGAAAACCAUGUGUGAAGUUGCUGACCAAAAUCUGAGUAGAAACUAACGAUCCUAAAACAGCGAUGAUUUUGUUUAAAAACAUAAAAGAUGAUACUAUUUGAGAAUUACAAAGAAAAUAGACAUCUUUAAUGAUGAAUUGGGUGCAUGAGAGUUCAUAUAAGCGUAAAAAUGGUGGAAUAUAGUUUAUGCCCGCAAGGUGUUUGAUUAAAUGGCUAAACGAAAAUAAAAGUGAGAUUUUGAAAGUUUUGCCAUGUUUACUUGAUUUUUUUAAUGUUUUGCUAAGAAUUACUUAGUGUUUUGUAAACAUAAAGCUUUGGUGAAUCUAAUGGUGAAUGAGAUUAACAUAAAGUACAUAUGUAAAUGUUAUUUUCACUUGAUCAUCCAAACGGGUCACUUGAGUGAAUGAGUUAAUUGGGUUGGAUUAUAACCCAAACUUAUACACUUUGGUUAGUCGAUGAAAUUGUGGUGAAAAUGACCCGUAUGUUAUGACUAAACACAAAUGCGUGAUAAUGGGUCAAAUGGAUGUUGAUAAACCAAUUAACAAGUUUGGGGUAAAAGAAUGAGUUAGAACACAUGCUUGAUGAUGGGUUGGAUAAGUAACUAGGUAUUAUGAGAUAAAUGCCCAUGUUACGUGUUCUAAUGAUUUGCAAGUUUGAUUUGUUGUCAAGAUAGGUGACAUAACGUUUGGAUGGCAACGGGUCAAACGAGUGAUAAAGCAACAACAUUCCUACGGGCAAAGGUGAGUGACUCGUGUAUGUUUGGAGUCGCAUUGAUUUAAAUAGUCUUAUUGUGGGAUUAAAUUUCUUAUGGUUAAGGUGGUUUAAUGAAACUUAUUGAAUAUGGUUUAACUUAACAAUAACGUAUUGUUUUAGCGAUGUUUUGGGGGUUUUAACCCAUCAAGAAAGAGUACAUAAUGUUAAUGGGUCGAGAUACCCAAAUGCUGAAAAUUCAGCUUAUUUCCAUAUUUUUGCUAGUCUUUAAAAAUUAAUAGAAAAUCAACCGAAUGUCCGUUCGGGGCGUAUUUUAUAUCCACGGAAAGGUCUCGAAGUCACCGUUAAUAAGAAUUUUCGUUUGAAGUGAAAUACUCACUAUAAAUAUGGGAAAAUACUGAAUUACUACAGCUGCAUAAAGCUGAGUGAAAAACAUAAAUUUAAUAGUACUUGCAUAAUCUUAGGGAAUUUAUAAGGAACCAAUGGAAUGUGAUUAUGUUGUUGUUUUAAACCUCUAUUUAGCUAUGUAUAUUACAUGAGUUGAGGUGAGUGAUUCCUUGAAUAUGGAUGUGUAUGCUAAACUAAAAAGUCAUGGGUGUUGUAACCUACAUGUGCAAAAACAUGUGUUCAUUUAGUAGUGCUUAUGAAUGAAUGACACUUGUGUCAUAAAAACUAUAUAACAUAUUGGAGUAUGUUAUGAAUACAUGUAUGAAUUAUUAAGAGUAUUUUAGAUAAUAAUGAUUGUUGAUAAUCGUAUAUAUUGUCUAAUGAUUUACAACAUAGAUAUGUGGCAGUUUACCAUUUUAUUUAUAUUGACCGAAUCAAUUCGAUAGUGGUUUACUUUGAAGUUUCCUUGAUUCUAUAUUAGCAGGGAUAUACAUGAGAUAUAAAAAAGGGGCAUCCAUAUUAGAAUGGAGAAAGUCACAAAAUGUGUGACUCGAGAUAAUGAAGUGGUGGCUCGAUAUUGUUUCGUUGGGCAUUAUGAGCAUUGAAUACUCCGUUAUGUUUGGUACAAAAUCAUAUUAUGAGUCCUCACUUAACAAAAGCUAAUAUUUUGAUGUUUUAAAUGUAGGUGAUAAGUCAUGAAAAUCAACGGGUGACUUGAACCAGAAUCAUGAAAGAAGAAAACAUCUCACAAGCACCAAUAAUUCGAUUCGGGUGGUAGGAAGGCGAAAGUGAUCAAGUUUUUGAAGCGGGUCAACGAUGUGAAGAUUUAGUGAUGCCUUGUUCACUAAGUAAUAUGGGUUUUCUUAUUGGGUCAACUUGACUUAGUUAUUUGCAUUUUAGAGUUUAACUUUAAUGUUUAUUUUAGCCAAGUGCUAGUAUGUCAAUGUAGUAGUGGGUUAUAUUUGUUUUAUAAAAA